AGUGAACGCUGGCGGUAGGCCUAACACAUGCCAGUCGAACGGCAGCACAGUAAGAGCUUGCUCUUACGGGUGGCGAGUGGCGGACGGGUGAGGAAUACAUCGGAAUCUACUUUUUCGUGGGGGAUAACGUAGGGAAACUUACGCUAAUACCGCAUACGACCUACGGGUGAAAGCAGGGGAUCUUCGGACCUUGCGCGAUUGAAUGAGCCGAUGUCGGAUUAGCUAGUUGGCGGGGUAAAGGCCCACCAAGGCGACGAUCCGUAGCUGGUCUGAGAGGAUGAUCAGACACACUGGAACUGAGACACGGUCCAGACUCCUACGGGAGGCAGCAGUGGGGAAUAUUGGACAAUGGGCGCAAGCCCGAUCCAGCCAUACCGCGUGGGUGAAGAAGGCCUUCGGGUUGUAAAGCCCUUUUGUUGGGAAAGAAAAGCAGCAGGUUAAUACCCCGCUGUUCUGACGGUACCCAAAGAAUAAGCACCGGCUAACUUC
Molecule: ribosomal RNA, 489 nt
Filed under: uncultured bacterium
Lineage: Bacteria
Description: partial 16S ribosomal RNA
Rfam family: Bacterial small subunit ribosomal RNA
Source: RNAcentral